AGGAGGAACAGCCCCAGUGGCGGGUCAGCUCUGGAAACCUGGAUUCAGCCCCCACAGUAACUACAGAGCUCUCCAUCUGCAGGGCCUGGAGGCUCCGGGCGGGG
This 104-nucleotide microRNA precursor is filed under the name Canis lupus familiaris (dog). RNAcentral describes it as "mir-8834 microRNA precursor family". It matches the Rfam family "mir-8834 microRNA precursor family". The record is from Rfam by way of RNAcentral. RNAcentral also lists the same sequence under 1 other name. Lineage: Eukaryota; Metazoa; Chordata; Mammalia; Carnivora; Canidae.